Molecule: non-coding RNA, 98 nt
Filed under: Pseudorhizobium pelagicum
Lineage: Bacteria; Pseudomonadati; Pseudomonadota; Alphaproteobacteria; Hyphomicrobiales; Rhizobiaceae
Description: RcsR1 sRNA
Rfam family: RcsR1 sRNA
About the family: RcsR1 (rhizobial cold and salinity stress riboregulator 1) trans-acting sRNA, formerly known as SmelC587, is a stress-related riboregulator, conserved in Sinorhizobium, Rhizobium and Agrobacterium.
Source: Rfam by way of RNAcentral
ACAUCGGUAACUGGUGGUGGGCACGCUGACGCGGCCUUGACCAGUCAUGUCCAUUCGACAAGACCCCAAAGCCGCCCGAGUUUCGAGGCGGCUUUUUU